This 381-nucleotide ribosomal RNA is filed under the name uncultured eukaryote. RNAcentral's name for it is "partial 18S ribosomal RNA". It matches the Rfam family "Eukaryotic small subunit ribosomal RNA", at positions 592 to 976 of the family's 1831-position model. The record is from RNAcentral.
CAAUAGCGUAUAUUAAAGCUGUUGCGGUUAAAAAGCUCGUAGUUGGAUUUCUGUCAAGGACAACUGGUCCGCCCUCCGGGUGAGCACAUAGUUUGGUCUUGACAUCUUGCUGGAAGCUGUUGCUGCACUUGGCUGUGUGGCGCAGUGUUCAGCACUUUCACUUUGAGGAAAUUGGAGUGUUUCAAGCAGGCACAUGCCUUUGGACACAGUAGCAUGGAAUAAUUAGAUUGGGCUUUUGCUCCAAUUUGUCGGUUUCUGGAGCUGAGGUGAGUAUUAAUGGGGAUUGUUGGGGGCAUCCGAAUUUAGCCGUCAGAGGUGAAAUUCUUGGAUCUGCUAAAGACGGACAACUGCGGAAGCGUUUGCCCAGGAUGUUUUCAUUGA